GACGAACGCUGGCGGCGUGCCUAAUACAUGCAAGUUGAGCGCUGAAGGUUGGUACUUGUACCGACUGGAUGAGCAGCGAACGGGUGAGUAACGCGUGGGGAAUCUGCCUUUGAGCGGGGGACAACAUUUGGAAACGAAUGCUAAUACCGCAUAAAAACUUUAAACACAAGUUUUAAGUUUGAAAGAUGCAAUUGCAUCACUCAAAGAUGAUCCCGCGUUGUAUUAGCUAGUUGGUGAGGUAAAGGCUCACCAAGGCGAUGAUACAUAGCCGACCUGAGAGGGGGACCGGCCCACUUGGGACUGGAAACGGGCCCAAACUCCUACGGGAGGCAACAGUAGGGAAUCUUCGGCAAUGGACAAAAGUCUGACCGGGCAACGCCGGGGAAGGAAAGAAGGUUUUCGGAUCUUAAAACUUUGUUGGUAGGAAAAAACGUGGGGGAGGGGGGAAAGCCCAAAAAGUGACGGUAACUACCCAGAAAGGGACGGCUAACUACGU
RNAcentral lists this ribosomal RNA (496 nucleotides) under uncultured bacterium. RNAcentral's name for it is "partial 16S ribosomal RNA". It matches the Rfam family "Bacterial small subunit ribosomal RNA", at positions 28 to 506 of the family's 1533-position model. The record is from RNAcentral.